GGAUGAUUUACGUUCUUGAUUGAGAUCUGUCUUGAAAAACUAAAAGAAAAAACUGCAACUUUAUCAAAACCUCAAGUACUCAAUUGUAAUUUUGAAAUUAUUUGUCAAAAACCAUUUAUUGAACAAAAACUCCAAUAUUAUACAACACUCAAGGAAUAAUCAAAAAUUGUGAAAAAUGGACACCAUUACAGCCUGUGCUUGAACAAUAUUUUCGUGAGUGUGGUAAAAUGAUAGAUGAAUUAAAAAAUGAAAAAGAAGAUCUAAUUUUACAGCUAUCUACAGCAUACAAUAGAUUGCAAUCACUUAACACAUUUCUUAAAGAUCAAAUGCUUGGGCAUGAAAACGAAAGAGAACAAUAUGAUAUCGAAACUAAAAAAAUAAGAGAGAAAGAACGACAAUCAUUAGAAACAGAAGAUCAAAAACUCAUGUAAUAUAACUUUUUUUUUUUUUUGUUAAUUAAUUUUCUUUUAUAUUACAUUGAAAUUUUUUUAUACUGAGAUGCUUGUUAAUGAACAUCAUGAAGCUGAAGAGAGAUAUAUAGAUUUGAAAACUAAACAUAAAAAAAUAGAAGACCUUUUAAAAUCAGCUAAAAAAGAAAUAAAAUCCUCGAAAGAAACGAUUUUUAGUUUAGAAGAUAGAAUAGAUAUAUUAGUUAAAAAUUGAUUUUAUGGAUGUGAUUAUGUUAUACCAUGUUAUGCUAGUGAU
This is a long non-coding RNA of Daktulosphaira vitifoliae (grape phylloxera), 705 nucleotides long. RefSeq lists it as uncharacterized. The record is from RefSeq and is a predicted model, not a curated record. The transcript has 4 exons. Lineage: Eukaryota; Metazoa; Arthropoda; Insecta; Hemiptera; Phylloxeridae.